RNAcentral lists this ribosomal RNA (496 nucleotides) under uncultured bacterium. RNAcentral's name for it is "partial 16S ribosomal RNA". It matches the Rfam family "Bacterial small subunit ribosomal RNA", at positions 28 to 506 of the family's 1533-position model. The record is from RNAcentral.
GAUGAACGCUGGCGGCGUGCCUAAUACAUGCAAGUCGAGCGAACAGACGAGGAGCUUGCUCCUCUGACGUUAGCGGCGGACGGGUGAGUAACACGUGGAUAACCUACCUAUAAGACUGGGAUAACUUCGGGAAACCGGAGCUAAUACCGGAUAAUAUAUUGAACCGCAUGGUUCAAUAGUGAAAGACGGUUUUGCUGUCACUUAUAGAUGGAUCCGCGCCGCAUUAGCUAGUUGGUAAGGUAACGGCUUACCAAGGCAACGAUGCGUAGCCGACCUGAGAGGGUGAUCGGCAACACUGGAACUGAGACACGGUCCAGACUCCUACGGGAGGCAGCAGUAGGGAAUCUUCCGCAAUGGGCGAAAGCCUGACGGAGCAACGCCGCGUGAGUGAUGAAGGUCUUCGGAUCGUAAAACUCUGUUAUUAGGGAAGAACAAAUGUGUAAGUAACUAUGCACGUCUUGACGGUACCUAAUCAGAAAGCCACGGCUAACUACGU